UACGUAGGGUGCGAGCGUUAAUCGGAAUUACUGGGCGUAAAGCGUGCGCAGGCGGUUCCUCAAGUCCGUUGUGAAAGCCCCGGGCUCAACCUGGGAACAGCGCUUGAGACUGGCACGCUCGAGUUCGGGAGAGGAUGGUGGAAUUCCCAGUGUAGAGGUGAAAUUCGUAGAUAUUGGGAAGAACACCGAUGGCGAAGGCAGCCAUCUGGACCGACACUGACGCUGAGGCGCGAAAGCGUGGGGAGCAAACAGG
This 253-nucleotide ribosomal RNA is filed under the name uncultured bacterium. Its description in RNAcentral is "partial 16S ribosomal RNA". It matches the Rfam family "Bacterial small subunit ribosomal RNA", at positions 524 to 776 of the family's 1533-position model. The record is from RNAcentral.